RNAcentral lists this ribosomal RNA (528 nucleotides) under uncultured delta proteobacterium. RNAcentral's name for it is "bacterial SSU rRNA". It matches the Rfam family "Bacterial small subunit ribosomal RNA", at positions 15 to 523 of the family's 1533-position model. The record is from RNAcentral. Lineage: Bacteria; Deltaproteobacteria.
GAUCCUGGCCUCAGAGCGAACGUUAGCGGCGCGCCUGAACACAUGCAAGUCGCACGAGAGUGGAGCAAUCCAUGAAAGUGGCGCACGGGUGCGUGAACACGUAGAUAACCUGCCCUAAAGAGGGGGAUAACGUUCCGAAAGGAGCGCUAAUACCGCAUAACGCUGCGCUUGGUUCGCCAAGUGCAGACAAAGGCUGGGACCGGCAACGGCCAGUCGCUUCAGGAGGGGUCUGCGGCCCAUCAGCUAGUUGGUGAGGUAAUGGCUCACCAAGGCAGAGACGGGUAGCUGGUCUGAGAGGAUGAUCAGCCACACUGGUACUGGAACACGGACCAGACUCCUACGGGAGGCAGCAGUGGGGAAUCUUGGUCAAUGGGCGCAAGCCUGAACCAGCGACGCCGCGUGAGUGAUGAAGGCCUUCGGGUUGUAAAGCUCUGUGGGGAGGGACGAAAGACUGAGGUCUAAUAGGCUUCAGGUUGACGGUACCUCCUUAGCAAGCACCGGCUAACUCUGUGCCAGCAGCCGCGGUAA